RNAcentral lists this ribosomal RNA (644 nucleotides) under Bacillus sp. MU2A-24. RNAcentral's name for it is "bacterial SSU rRNA". It matches the Rfam family "Bacterial small subunit ribosomal RNA", at positions 836 to 1480 of the family's 1533-position model. The record is from RNAcentral. Lineage: Bacteria; Bacillati; Bacillota; Bacilli; Caryophanales; Bacillaceae.
CCCUUUAGUGCUGAAGUUAACGCAUUAAGCACUCCGCCUGGGGAGUACGGUCGCAAGACUGAAACUCAAAGGAAUUGACGGGGGCCCGCACAAGUGGUGGAGCAUGUGGUUUAAUUCGAAGCAACGCGAAGAACCUUACCAGGUCUUGACAUCCUCUGACAACCCUAGAGAUAGGGCUUUCCCUUCGGGGACAGAGUGACAGGUGGUGCAUGGUUGUCGUCAGCUCGUGUCGUGAGAUGUUGGGUUAAGUCCCGCAACGAGCGCAACCCUUGAUCUUAGUUGCCAGCAUUUAGUUGGGCACUCUAAGGUGACUGCCGGUGACAAACCGGAGGAAGGUGGGGAUGACGUCAAAUCAUCAUGCCCCUUAUGACCUGGGCUACACACGUGCUACAAUGGAUAGUACAAAGGGUUGCAAGACCGCGAGGUGGAGCUAAUCCCAUAAAACUAUUCUCAGUUCGGAUUGUAGGCUGCAACUCGCCUACAUGAAGCCGGAAUCACUAGUAAUCGCGGAUCAGCAUGCCGCGGUGAAUACGUUCCCGGGCCUUGUACACACCGCCCGUCACACCACGAGAGUUUGUAACACCCGAAGUCGGUGGGGUAACCUUUUAGGGGCCAGCCGCCUAAGGUGGGACAGAUGAUUGGGG